AUGGCCUGGACUCCUCUGCUCCUCGCGCUCCUCUCUCUCUGCACAGGGUCCCUCUCCCAGCCUGUGCUGACCCAGCCGCCCUCCCUCUCUGCAUCUCCGGGAACCUCAGCCAGACUCACCUGCACCCUGAGCAGUGACUUCAGUGUUGGCGGCUACAACAUAAUCUGGUUCCAACAGAAGCCAGGGAGCCCUCCCCGGUUUCUCCUGAGAUUCUACUCAGAAUUCAUUAAGGACCAGGGCUCCGGGGUCCCCAGCCGCUUCUCUGGAUCCAAAGACGCCUCGGCCAAUGCGGGGCUCCUGCUCAUCUCGGGGCUGCAGCCUGAGGACGAGGCUGACUAUUACUGCGCUGCACCUGUUGGCAAGGCCUCCCAGCAGCCUCUUCCUGGACACAAGGCUGACACCACACAGGAGCCCCUCCCCAUCAGCGGGGACCUGAGCCUCUUUGCCCUGAAGCUCGGGUCUGAGCUGGGGACCUUCUGGGGUGACUUCAGCCUGAACCCCGACGAGGGGACCUGCGUCUCUAUCAGGGCUGCAGCGCCCACGGGUCCCUGGGAACAGCCGCUGUCCACGCCCCUCAGUGCUGAACUCUGA
This is a non-coding RNA of Eptesicus fuscus (big brown bat), 591 nucleotides long. The record is from the annotation of a RefSeq genome assembly. Lineage: Eukaryota; Metazoa; Chordata; Mammalia; Chiroptera; Vespertilionidae.